CCUACGGGAGGCAGCAGUGGGGAAUAUUGGACAAUGGGCGAAAGCCUGAUCCAGCCAUGCCGCGUGUGUGAAGAAGGCCUUCGGGUUGUAAAGCACUUUCAGUGGGGAAGAAAGCCUUGGGGCUAAUACCCUCGAGGAAGGACAUCACCCACAGAAGAAGCACCGGCUAACUCCGUGCCAGCAGCCGCGGUAAUACGGAGGUGCGAGCGUUAAUCGGAAUUACUGGGCGUAAAGCGCGCGUAGGCGGUCUGAUAAGCCGGUUGUGAAAGCCCCGGGCUCAACCUGGGAACGGCAUCCGGAACGGUCAGGCUAGAGUGCAGGAGAGGAAGGUAGAAUUCCCGGUGUAGCGGUGAAAUGCGUAGAGAUCGGGAGGAAUACCAGUGGCGAAGGCGGCAUUCUGGACUGACACUGACGCUGAGGUGCGAAAGCGUGGGUAGCAAACAGGAUUAGAUACCCCAGUAGUC
RNAcentral lists this ribosomal RNA (464 nucleotides) under Vreelandella stevensii. Its description in RNAcentral is "partial 16S ribosomal RNA". It matches the Rfam family "Bacterial small subunit ribosomal RNA", at positions 338 to 795 of the family's 1533-position model. Lineage: Bacteria; Pseudomonadati; Pseudomonadota; Gammaproteobacteria; Oceanospirillales; Halomonadaceae. The record is from RNAcentral.